CUCCAGUCCCCUAAAUCCAAUUCCUACUUGUUUUUGUCAGCCCAAUAUGCAUAAACAUCACAGAGACCUUGCCUUCACUAGCUUAUCUCCAAACUUUAAGUCUCAAGCUCCUACAUUCUUGCUUCAGCUUAUGCUUAUUCUUCAAUUUCUUUCCAAGCUCUCCUACUUCAAACCAAAUGUUUAAAAUCAGUUUCUUUAAGUGCUCCUAAGCCUCCAGGGAAUCAGAGUGACAUGAAAAGACGAUCCUCAUGUUCCGAACAUCUCACUUACCGGUUUGUAUGGCUAUGUCAAACCCGCAGGGUCCACCCUGCAAAUUCCAGCAUCAGUACCUUAACUUUCACAAUUUAAUUAAAAUACUAAACAAUAUCCGUUUUGAGCAAACGACCACUCAUUGGAAAGCUUAGGGUGUCAGGAUUACAAAUAUAAUUUUUGUUUUGAGGGUUAACCAUUCAAUUGGUUCAGUUUAACAAAAGAGCGGGUAUUGGUACAUAAACAUGACUGAAACUUUCUCAAACUUGUAGGCAGCUUUUCUCCUACUAUACUUAAUGAAAUUUAACAACUCUAGUGUCUAAACUAUAGGAAAUUUUGUCUUCUUUACAUUGGAUUAAGAAUCAUUAACAUAUGACCUAUUUUCAGAGAGUUAUGCUAAUUUUACCACAGGUAUGUUUACACGAAUUUCACACAAACAACUCUUCUUUUAUAUGAACUUGCAAACCAAACAUAUACAAUCCAAUAAUAGCCAAAACCAGUCCAUUUAAACUUAUAAAAUCCCUUUAUUUUCCAUCUUUUAGGGUCUCAGGUUUGGCAUGAAAGAGAAAGAAAGGAAUAAAGAGAGAAGGUUUAAUUCAUCUUACCUCAGUUUCUAGACAUCCAAAGCUUGAUUUUCAUGAGAAUUUCGUACAUGCAAUAGGAGGGUUUGAAGAAAAGAAAUGUGGGGGUUUUUGGUUUGAUUCUAAACAGGAGGGAAAAUGGAGAAUUUGAGCAAAAUAUUACUGGAAAUGGGUUUCUUUGAUGAUGGGUUUAUGAUUUUCAUUCAUGGAUGUGCUUGAUUUUGAGGGAUUGGUGAGGAAGGAAUUUGCAGGUGAUGACCAAGGUGAAGAAGAGAGGAUGGCGUCUGAGAAAAGAAGAGAGAGAUAUAAUGAAAAUUCUGAUUUUCAUUCCGAGAAAUGAUAUUUGAACAUAAAUGACAACUUUUGCAACAACUUUCUUUCUUAUACUCACGUUACUUUUUACUUUAUCUCUCUAUUGCUAUGAUUUUUGUGCCAAUACCACAUUUUUCUUUGUAAAAUAUGGUUGUCAAAUAAGUUGUCACCAAAUUGGUUGUUCAAAUAACACUCCUCUUUCAUUCCUCUUAUUAAUCACAUUUAACCCUUUCCUCUUUUACUAUUUUGCCCCUCCUUUUACUACUAAAACAUAAUUGUUUCUUUUCAUCAAUAUUUCUCCAAUUUACUAUAUAAAAUUUUAUCUCAUCCUUUAUUUGGAGUCUCUAAUUCACACCAUUAUUAUUAAUGAGAGCUGGAUUAUUACAAUUGUCUUGGUAGUUUGAACUCAAUGUUGAUUUAUUGACUUUGAAAUCAACAACGAUAUAAAUCGGUGUGUUAAUCAAUAUGGUUGUAUUGC
This 1620-nucleotide long non-coding RNA is filed under the name Medicago truncatula (barrel medic). RNAcentral's name for it is "long non-coding RNA (MTRU_LNC000950)". Lineage: Eukaryota; Viridiplantae; Streptophyta; Magnoliopsida; Fabales; Fabaceae. The record is from RNAcentral.